Long non-coding RNA from Myxocyprinus asiaticus (Chinese sucker), 2123 nucleotides. RefSeq lists it as uncharacterized. Lineage: Eukaryota; Metazoa; Chordata; Actinopteri; Cypriniformes; Catostomidae. The record is from RefSeq and is a predicted model, not a curated record. The transcript is spliced from 4 exons.
UAUUUUUCAUAUUUAUCAGUAGGGCGGAAUCCGGAGCAUAGUUCAACAUUAGAGCGUGCGUCUCCGCGAGACAAUACGAACAUCCCGCCGCUCAAAGAUUUAUCAAACUUUGUAAACAAGAUCGGCGCGUCUGGAAGCGAAAAUCACACGGUGAUGGCUAGCGGCCGUGGCGUUGCAACAAAGCCGAAAAGACUCAAACGUGGCCCAGGUGCAGGCUCCGGUUGAUGGGGGUGUGAGAGAUAUUGAUUUCAUACCACAGACACCAGAACGGAAGGUCAAGACGGUCGGUCAAGACGUUCGCUCAGAGCAUCAGCUGGUGUGUGUGUAGCUGGUUGUGGAUGACCAUGCGGUGAUGUUUGGAGCUGGGGCGAUGGACUGAUAGAAUCGAGGGACGCCUGUGCAUUUUCCCAGGUACCUAAAGAAACACAGCGGGCUGAUCAGUCCAACGAACGCAUGGUGUCUGCGGCAGAUUCCGACCCUAAGGCUCUGCCUUCGAAUCAGGAGGCUUACAGAUGGAAAUCACAUCCCGUGAUAGACAAUCAACACAUAAUCGGACUGAUUAUGUGAACGAAGGAGCAGCCCGCGAUCAAAACCUAACAACGGACUUAUUAAAACAGGCCAUACUCAUGCUUAAAAAGAAACUCGGGCCAAGAAAUCUACCCCACAGGACACCCCCAAAUAAUUUUCAAGGACUUUGGACCUCUUGAAAAUUAUUAUGGAUUUGUCAAAGCCACAGUACUGCCCCCGCGAAAACUGCUUCACCCCGUCCUUCCCUACAGGACUGAUGGCAAGCUUAUGUUUCCGCUCUGCCGUAUAUGUGCGGAUCAGCAGAAUCAGACCACCCCGUGUAGCCACACUGAUGAGGAAAGGCUAUUUCAAGCUGCUGGGUCAGUAUCGAACUGUCAAAGGCUGUGGAGAAAGGUUAUGAUGUAACGAAGGUUGACGAGUAUGGCAUUUCCCUCAACGAUCAGAAACCUUGUUUUGUGAUUGUUAAAAUAUUUUUACAGUACAAACAAGAGGCCAGUGGAUUCCCCACGCACGUUGUGACAGAUGCAGACAAAAAAAUCUUACAUCGACGAUUACUUUGAGAAAGAGGGGAUUAAACUGAAUCUUGACAAGAUAAGUCUUAACCCUGCACGCCGGUCUAUUAAUAAACUUCUGCUGAACUCACUUUGGGGACGAUUCUCUAUGCGCGAAAAUUUGCCGUAUACAGAACUACUUUCAGACCCUGAACAGUAUGCCCAGCACAUUUUUGGUGAUGGUUAUGACAUUAAACACUUCUCGUUCGUGUCAGACACUGUUCCAGUAAUUCAGUGGUGUUACGCGGACGGGAAAGGUGGUCAGACCCGUGACAAUGUCUUUCUUUGGUGCGUUUACAACUAUAGAACUGUAUGAACUAAUUGAUAAAGUGGGCGAUAGGCUGUUGUACACUGACACAGACAGCGUCAUCUUUACUUAUAGAGACGGCGCCUGGGAGCCGCCAUUGGGGCCUUGCCUCGGUAAUCUGACGGAUAAGAUUGGGGAUCACAUUGUAGAGUUUUGUUCUGGGGGCCCGAAAACAAACGGCUACUGCACUGCUAAGGGUAAGGUCUGCAUAAAAGUCAAGGGUAUCACUCUCAAAAGGUUAGGCACUCUGAUUGGACUAUGUCGUGGGAGGAGAUAAUAUUCGGCAUAUACUGGCAUACACCAACACUAUUGUGAGAAAUAAAAACUUCACACUCCACAACAGGUCAGUCGUUAAAAAGUUUAAGGUUUUGUACAACAAACCUGUGCUGCUCCCUGAUAUCACCACACUCUAUGGAUUCUGACAGUCUAUUUGGACAUAGGGGUGUGCGCGACAUAGAUGGUUUUGAUUUCAGAUUACAGCAUCCAUUUUCAUGUGUGAUAAGUGGUUUUCCCGAGUUUAAUCGGGAAAGUCAUAUUUUGUAAAAAUGUUGUUGCAAAAUUCUGUACGGUUGAUUUCUAAAAAAAAACUGAAAAUAUUGUAUAUAUUUAUGAUUGUUGACAACCAUUGUAUGACGAAUUGUUGAAAAUGUACAAAAUUAAAUUUGUUGAAGGUCUACCACAGACUCUGAAUGAUGAUGAUCUGUUCCCCGUCAACAAAACUAAUUUAUUGAUCCUUG